This 483-nucleotide ribosomal RNA is filed under the name uncultured bacterium. Its description in RNAcentral is "partial 16S ribosomal RNA". It matches the Rfam family "Bacterial small subunit ribosomal RNA", at positions 30 to 507 of the family's 1533-position model. The record is from RNAcentral.
AUUGAACGCUGGCGGCAGGCCUAACACAUGCAAGUCGAGCGGAUGAAGGGAGCUUGCUCCUGGAUUCAGCGGCGGACGGGUGAGUAAUGCCUAGGAAUCUGCCUGGUAGUGGGGGAUAACGUCCGGAAACGGGCGCUAAUACCGCAUACGUCCUGAGGGAGAAAGUGGGGGAUCUUCGGACCUCACGCUAUCAGAUGAGCCUAGGUCGGAUUAGCUAGUUGGUGGGGUAAAGGCCUACCAAGGCGACGAUCCGUAACUGGUCUGAGAGGAUGAUCAGUCACAUUGAACCGAAAACCCGUCCCGAACCCUGAGGGGGGGAACAAGUGGGAAUUAUUGACAAUGGGGGGAAACCCUGUCCCACCCUGGCCGGGUGUGUGAAAAAGGUCUUCGGUUUGUAAAGCCCUUUAGGUUGGGGGAAAGGGCGGUAAUUUAAACCCUUCCUUUUUGAGCGUUACCAACAAAUAAACCCCGGCUAACCUUCGG